RNAcentral lists this ribosomal RNA (226 nucleotides) under Pseudoalteromonas sp. S2721. RNAcentral describes it as "partial 16S ribosomal RNA". It matches the Rfam family "Bacterial small subunit ribosomal RNA", at positions 1 to 222 of the family's 1533-position model. Lineage: Bacteria; Pseudomonadati; Pseudomonadota; Gammaproteobacteria; Alteromonadales; Pseudoalteromonadaceae. The record is from RNAcentral.
UUAAUUGAAGAGUUUGAUCAUGGCUCAGAUUGAACGCUGGCGGCAGGCCUAACACAUGCAAGUCGAGCGGUAACAGAGAGUAGCUUGCUACUCUGCUGACGAGCGGCGGACGGGUGAGUAAUGCUUGGGAAUAUGCCUUAUGGUGGGGGACAACAGUUGGAAACGACUGCUAAUACCGCAUGAUGUCUACGGACCAAGGUGGGGGACCUUCGGGCCUCUCGCCCUA